AACGGAGGGUGCAAGCGUUGCUCGGAAUCACUGGGCGUAAAGAGCGUGGAGGCGGCUUCGUGUGCCUGAGGUGAAAGCCCCGGGCUCACCCCGGGAAGUGCGUUGGAAACUGCGGAGCUAGAGUCCCGGAGAGGGAGGUGGAAUUCCAGGUGUAGCGGUGAAAUGCGUAGAUAUCUGGAAGAACACCGGGGGCGAAGGCGGCCUCCUGGACGGUGACUGACGCUGAGACGCGGAAGCGUGGGGAGCAAGCAGG
RNAcentral lists this ribosomal RNA (253 nucleotides) under uncultured bacterium. RNAcentral's name for it is "partial 16S ribosomal RNA". It matches the Rfam family "Bacterial small subunit ribosomal RNA", at positions 524 to 776 of the family's 1533-position model. The record is from RNAcentral.